GACGAACGUUAGCGGCGGGCCUAACACAUGCAAGUCGAACGAGAAUGAGGGGCAACUCCUCUAGUAAAGUGGCGGACGGGUGCGUAACACGUGGGUAAUCUACCUUCCAGCGGGGACAACCGUCCGAAAGGAUGGCUAAUACCGCGUACGUCGGCGAGGGCCCUGGUCCUUGUCGGGAAAGACGGCCUCUUCAUGAAAGCUGUCCCUGGAAGAUGAGCUCGCGGCCCAUCAGCUAGUUGGGAGGUAAUGGCUCACCAAGGCUAAGACGGGUAGCUGGUCUGAGAGGAUGAUCAGCCACACUGGAACUGCGACACGGUCCAGACUCCUACGGGAGGCAGCAGUGGGGAAUCUUGCACAAUGGGGAAACCCUGAUGCAGCGACGCCGCGUGAGCGAUGAAGCCC
RNAcentral lists this ribosomal RNA (402 nucleotides) under uncultured bacterium. RNAcentral describes it as "bacterial SSU rRNA". It matches the Rfam family "Bacterial small subunit ribosomal RNA", at positions 28 to 416 of the family's 1533-position model. The record is from RNAcentral.